GAUGAAGAACGUAGCGAAAUGCGAUAAGUAGUGUGAAUUGCAGAAUUCAGUGAAUCAUCGAAUCUUUGAACGCACAUUGCGCCCCAUGGUAUUCCGUGGGGCAUGCCUGUUCGAGCGUCAUUUACCCCCUCAAGCUCCGCUUGGUGUUGAGCGUCUGUCCCGCUUCGCGCGCGGACUCGCCCCAAAGGUAUUGGCAGCGGUCGUGCCAGCUUCUCGCGCAGCACAUUGCGCUUCUCGAGGCACCGGUGGGCCCGCGUCCAUCAAGCUCACCCCCCCAGUUUGACCUCGGAUCAGGUAGGGAUACCCGCUGAACUUAAGCAUAUCAAUAAGCGGAGGA
RNAcentral lists this unclassified non-coding RNA (337 nucleotides) under soil metagenome. RNAcentral describes it as "partial contains 5.8S ribosomal RNA, internal transcribed spacer 2, and large subunit ribosomal RNA". The stretch from base 1 to 120 matches the Rfam family "5.8S ribosomal RNA", at positions 35 to 154 of the family's 154-position model. The record is from RNAcentral.